UACAGAGGGGGCAAGCGUUGUUCGGAAUUACUGGGCGUAAAGGGCGCGUAGGCGGCCUGUUAAGUCGAACGUGAAAUCCCCGGGCUCAACCCGGGAACUGCGUCCGAGACUGACAGGCUUGAAUCCGGGAGAGGGAUGUGGAAUUCCAGGUGUAGCGGUGAAAUGCGUAGAUAUCUGGAGGAACACCGGUGGCGAAGGCGGCAUCCUGGACCGGUAUUGACGCUGAGGCGCGAAAGCCAGGGGAGCAAACGGG
This 253-nucleotide ribosomal RNA is filed under the name uncultured bacterium. RNAcentral describes it as "partial 16S ribosomal RNA". It matches the Rfam family "Bacterial small subunit ribosomal RNA", at positions 524 to 776 of the family's 1533-position model. The record is from RNAcentral.